RNAcentral lists this ribosomal RNA (724 nucleotides) under uncultured Trichocomaceae. RNAcentral describes it as "eukaryotic LSU rRNA". The stretch from base 146 to 299 matches the Rfam family "5.8S ribosomal RNA". Lineage: Eukaryota; Fungi; Ascomycota; Eurotiomycetes; Eurotiales; Trichocomaceae. The record is from RNAcentral. RNAcentral also lists the same sequence under 1 other name.
UCAAACAAGUUCAUCUUGUUCUGAUCCUGUGCACCUUAUGUAGUCCCAAAGCCUUCACGGGCGGCGGUUGACUACGUCUACCUCACACCUUAAAGUAUGUUAACGAAUGUAAUCAUGGUCUUGACAGACUCUAAAAAGUUAAUACAACUUUCGACAACGGAUCUCUUGGCUCUCGCAUCGAUGAAGAACGCAGCGAAAUGCGAUAAGUAAUGUGAAUUGCAGAAUUCAGUGAAUCAUCGAAUCUUUGAACGCACCUUGCGCCCUUUGGUAUUCCGAGGGGCAUGCCUGUUUGAGUGUCAUUAAAUACCAUCAACCCUCUUUUGACUUCGGUCUCGAGAGUGGCUUGGAAGUGGAGGUCUGCUGGAGCCUAACGGAGCCAGCUCCUCUUAAAUGUAUUAGCGGAUUUCCCUUGCGGGAUCGCGUCUCCGAUGUGAUAAUUUCUACGUCGUUGACCAUCUCGGGGCUGACCUAGUCAGUUUCAAUAGGAGUCUGCUUCUAACCGUCUCUUGACUGAGACUAGCGACUUGUGCGCUAACUUUUGACUUGACCUCAAAUCAGGUAGGACUACCCGCUGAACUUAAGCAUAUCAAUAAGCGGAGGAAAAGGAACUAACAAGGAUUCCCCUAGUAACUGCGAGUGAAGCGGGAAAAGCUCAAAUUUAAAAUCUGGCGGUCUCCGGCCGUCCGAGUUGUAAUUUAGAGAAGCGUUAUCCGUGCUGGACCGU